Molecule: ribosomal RNA, 1050 nt
Filed under: Salmonella enterica subsp. enterica
Lineage: Bacteria; Pseudomonadati; Pseudomonadota; Gammaproteobacteria; Enterobacterales; Enterobacteriaceae
Description: partial 23S ribosomal RNA
Rfam family: Bacterial large subunit ribosomal RNA
Source: RNAcentral
AUCUAAGUACCCCGAGGAAAAGAAAUCAACCGAGAUUCCCCCAGUAGCGGCGAGCGAACGGGGAGGAGCCCAGAGCCUGAAUCAGCAUGUGUGUUAGUGGAAGCGUCUGGAAAGGCGCGCGAUACAGGGUGACAGCCCCGUACACAAAAGCGCAUGUGCUGUGAGCUCGAUGAGUAGGGCGGGACACGUGGUAUCCUGUCUGAAUAUGGGGGGACCAUCCUCCAAGGCUAAAUACUCCUGACUGACCGAUAGUGAACCAGUACCGUGAGGGAAAGGCGAAAAGAACCCCGGCGAGGGGAGUGAAAAAGAACCUGAAACCGUGUACGUACAAGCAGUGGGAGCCCCACCACCAAAGCAUUCUCUGGUGUUGAAGGCCCUGCAAAGCAGCAUCGCGGUGGCGGAGCGUCGUUUGCGACGCCCAACACACAAAACAAGCGGUGAAUGCUUUGGGGUGGGGUGACUGCGUACCUUUUGUAUAAUGGGUCAGCGACUUAUAUUCUGUAGCAAGGUUAACCGAAUAGGGGAGCCGGAGGGAAACCGAGUCUUAAUUGGGCGUUAAGUUGCAGGGUAUAGACCCGAAACCCGGUGAUCUAGCCAUGGGCAGGUUGAAGGUUGGGUAACACUAACUGGAGGACCGAACCGACUAAUGUUGAAAAAUUAGCGGAUGACCUGUGGCUGGGGGUGAAAGGCCAAUCAAACCGGGAGAUAGCUGGUUCUCCCCGAAAGCUAUUUAGGUAGCGCCUCGUGAAUUCAUCUCCGGGGGUAGAGCACUGUUUCGGCUAGGGGGCCAUCCCGGCUUACCAACCCGAUGCAAACUGCGAAUACCGGAGAAUGUUAUCACGGGAGACACACGGCGGGUGCUAACGUCCGUCGUGAAGAGGGAAACAACCCAGACCGCCAGCUAAGGUCCCAAAGUCAUGGUUAAGUGGGAAACGAUGUGGGAAGGCCCAGACAGCCAGGAUGUUGGCUUAGAAGCAGCCAUCAUUUAAAGAAAGCGUAAUAGCUCACUGGUCGAGUCGGCCUGCGCGGAAGAUGUAACGGGGCUAAACC